RNAcentral lists this unclassified non-coding RNA (479 nucleotides) under Hevea brasiliensis (rubber tree). Lineage: Eukaryota; Viridiplantae; Streptophyta; Magnoliopsida; Malpighiales; Euphorbiaceae. The record is from RNAcentral.
AAAAAAAGGAGUAUUAAUGAGUUUACACAAUAUGAAUUCGAAUUACCCGAGCCCAAUGGGCCUAUAAUUGUCUAUGGGUCUGCAAAAAAAUUAUUCAAACCCACCCUCAUCAAAAAUCGAAAUAGAAUACAGUCCUCCAUUAAAACACAAGAAUUAGUGAAGCUCAAAGCUAAGUCCCUGUUUGGCUGUCACACCCAAAAAAAAUGGAAACAGACAUACUGAUUCAGCUAGUUAUCCUUCUUUUCACUCUCGGAAUUUUCUACACCAUUUAUAAUUUCCCCAAACAAGCCUUAACCCGACUCCGAUCAAAAACCCGAUCCACAAACCAAGCCAAUUCCCAUUUCAUCAAAGGCGCUCAAUUCCUCUCCCGUGCAAAAUCAAAUCGGAGCAAAAAAAGCAUCUCCUUCAACCUCGCUAAACUCGCCGCCGGCGAAGCUGAUAAAGCUUUAUCGAUCGAUCCUAAAGAUCCAGCAGCUCAU